AUUGAACGCUGGCGGCAGGCCUAACACAUGCAAGUCGAGCGGUAACACAGGGAGCUUGCUCCCGGGUGACGAGCGGCGGACGGGUGAGUAAUGUCUGGGAAACUGCCUGAUGGAGGGGGAUAACUACUGGAAACGGUAGCUAAUACCGCAUAAUGUCGCAAGACCAAAGAGGGGGACCUUCGGGCCUCUUGCCAUCAGAUGUGCCCAGAUGGGAUUAGCUAGUAGGUGGGGUAACGGCUCACCUAGGCGACGAUCCCUAGCUGGUCUGAGAGGAUGACCAGCCACACUGGAACUGAGACACGGUCCAGACUCCUACGGGAGGCAGCAGUGGGGAAUAUUGCACAAUGGGCGCAAGCCUGAUGCAGCCAUGCCGCGUGUAUGAAGAAGGCCUUCGGGUUGUAAAGUACUUUCAGCGGGGAGGAAGGUGUUGAGGUUAAUAACCUCAGCAAUUGACGUUACCCGCAGAAGAAGCACCGGCUAACUCCGUGCCAGCAGCCGCCGUAA
Molecule: ribosomal RNA, 504 nt
Filed under: uncultured bacterium
Lineage: Bacteria
Description: partial 16S ribosomal RNA
Rfam family: Bacterial small subunit ribosomal RNA
Source: RNAcentral